Molecule: long non-coding RNA, 451 nt
Organism: Apis mellifera (honey bee)
Lineage: Eukaryota; Metazoa; Arthropoda; Insecta; Hymenoptera; Apidae
Exons: 2
Source: RefSeq, a predicted model, not a curated record
AACAUAAAAAUUCCAUUAAUGUGAAGUAGAUCGCUAUAUCAAUAUAAUAGAGGCUUCGCGUUUUUCAAGCUUGCGAAACGUAUCGAUACUCGUCACUCGUUGCGCGUCACGUUCGUUCGCGCGCGUCUCGCUAUACUUUUCGUAAUAUAGAUCGAGAAGAGAAUUUCUUCGAACGAGUAUCGAUCGUUGCGCCGAAUACAGCGUAUCGUUAAUUGGCCAUUCUCAAAAGCAAAAGUUAUUAUUGGCGAAAAUAGUAGCAAGUGGUCGAGCAAAGUAAAGGAAAGAACAAAGAGAAAUUAAAGAGAUGAUGGAUAAAGAAAUAAUAUACGCAUACAGGUGCGGGUUCCCAAGCUUCCGAUUGUAACUCGACCAAGAGCAAACAAACUGUGAACCGAGAGAGAGGGGGGAGGGAAAAAAAAAGAAGAGAAACAAGAGAGAACGAAAAAUAUAA